CUCUCUCUCACACUCUCCCGCUAUCGUGCACUGCAAGAUUGGCUUUGACUUUUUUUUCUAUGCUCGUUCAGCACGCAACAAGCGGCUUCGCUGUAGGAAGCGGGAGUCGUUGAUAUGCACCAAAGCAGGCACUGGAGAGUUGACCAGUGAAUGAUUUCGUUCGCGAGUGUAUUUAGUUGUGCGGAAGUGAAGAAAACCGACCGGCCAUUUGUCGACAUGAAUCACAGCAAAGGGAACCGAAAACUGAAACUAAAAUACGUUGGAUUUAGACGCUUAGAUAAAAGGAUAAAUGGGCGUGAGACAAUGCGCAUUGUCAUUGGUAUUCCUCCCGUACCAAUGCUCUCGGUCUUUGUUGUCUCAUAUUCCUCCUCUAAUCCUUCAGAUGCUUGACGUAAACAUGCCUGUGCAACGGCUUCUCAUCAUAUUACAGAGACAGAAUUUAAAUCGCUACUGGCGUGCAAUUUGUGCUUAUUUUGGGAUAAGCGCGAUUAAAUUAAACGAAACGGUGACGAAUCUAAAUUUUGAUUGAUCAGUCCAGAAUAAAAAAAAGCUAAUCUAGUAAAAAAUGUA
This is a long non-coding RNA of Anopheles arabiensis, 570 nucleotides long. RefSeq lists it as uncharacterized. Lineage: Eukaryota; Metazoa; Arthropoda; Insecta; Diptera; Culicidae. The record is from RefSeq and is a predicted model, not a curated record. The transcript has 2 exons.